CCGCCCUUAGCUUAAGUUAGAGCAGCGGUCUUGUAAGUCGUAGGCGUGAGCUAAUCCUCACAGGGCGGU
RNAcentral lists this transfer RNA (69 nucleotides) under Mimachlamys senatoria. RNAcentral's name for it is "tRNA-Thr". It matches the Rfam family "tRNA". Rfam says of the family: Transfer RNA (tRNA) molecules are approximately 80 nucleotides in length. Their secondary structure includes four short double-helical elements and three loops (D, anti-codon, and T loops). Further hydrogen bonds mediate the characteristic L-shaped molecular structure. tRNAs have two regions of fundamental functional importance: the anti-codon, which is responsible for specific mRNA codon recognition, and the 3' end, to which the tRNAs corresponding amino acid is attached (by aminoacyl-tRNA synthetases). tRNAs cope with the degeneracy of the genetic code in two manners: having more than one tRNA (with a specific anti-codon) for a particular amino acid; and 'wobble' base-pairing, i.e. permitting non-standard base-pairing at the 3rd anti-codon position. Lineage: Eukaryota; Metazoa; Mollusca; Bivalvia; Pectinida; Pectinidae. The record is from RNAcentral.